UGCCGAUUUCACAGCAGAAAUAAACAUGUUUACAGCCUGGUUCCAAAACAUGUUUUUUGUCUAAAUUAUCUAGUUUAUACUCAUGACAACUCUGAGGGGGGUGAAUUCUUUUCUCACUCUUCUGUUUAAGUGUAUUGAAAGCCUAAAAUUCUGUAUAAUUAAUGAGCAUCCGACACACGUGACCACCGCCUCAGACCCACGUGACCACAGAGCUAGCUCCGUGGAAAGGCCUCAGUACAGCCUCGGUCCCUCCUGGAAACUGUGUCGGGAUUUUGAGUCUCUGUGCUUGUGAAUUCUGUUUUGGAUAUUAUUGGUGCAAUUGUUGGACAAAAUGACUUGCUGUGGUAUUAAUUGCACUAAUAGAGCGUCCAAGGAGUCUCCACUUCAUUUUUUUCGGGAAGGACCUGAUUGGUGUCCAGAACCUGCUUAAGAAGCACCAGGCUCUGCAGGCUGAGAUCACAGGUCAUGAACCUCGCAUCAAGGCUGUCACCCAGAAAGGAGAGACCAUGGUGGAAGAAGGUCACUUCGCUGGUGAGUAAGUGAAGACUAAACUGUGGGAGCUUCAUGGACGUUGGGACACGCUGAAGGCCAAGGCGUCCCAGAGGAGGCAGGACCUGGAGGACUCUCUGCAGGCCCAGCAGUACUUUGCGGAUGCUAAUGAGGCCGAGUCCUGGAUGAGGGAGAAGGAGCCCAUCGUUGGAAGUCCAGACUAAGGGAAAGACGAGGACUUGGCCGAGGUAUGGAAGUCCCUUCCUGAGAAACUCCAAUCGCUUUUCUUUGCUCUCUUUCCAGUCCUUCAUAAUUAGUGUUUCUGUAUUUGUCAUUUCCUUCGGUUGUCUACCAGACGUCGUUGCUCGUUUGAGCGUCUCAUGGGUUAGGGGUAGAAGUGCUGGCCUCGCACAGGAAGUGAUGACAAACGUGUUCCCGUCGCUCUUAUUUCAAACGGUUUACAAGCUGUGAUGUGUGUUCCCGCUGCAGAGCAGCCAUGACACGUGGCAGCCAGCAGAAGGCUCACGCUUUUCCACUAAACACCCGCAGAGCUGCGUCUGCGGUGAACUGAGCAGGGUUUGUUUUACGGUGGCGGAUCCGAUUGGACCAUCGCUGCGAGAAAGCUCCACUUGUGUCAGACGAGCUGAAGGUUCUGAUGUUCUGCUCCACAGGCUCUCCUGAAGAAGCACGAGGCCCUGAUGUCGGACCUGUCGGCUUACAGCAGCAGCAUCCAGGCCCUGAAGGAGCAGGCCCAGUCCUGCAGGGUGAGUUCAGAACCCUCGGCCCGUCAGAACAUUCUUAUCCACCACGUUCUAACACCAGACCUGUUAACCCGACAGCAACAAGGUAAUCAGCAGGUGCUUUUGUCCUGCAGGACCUGAAGGCCAACGAGUCCCGCCUGAGGGACAUCAACAAGGUGGCAUCUGAACUGGAGUCAGAAGGUCUGAUGGCUGAGGAGGCUCCUAUGGUUCAGGCUCAGGUGAGCGUCACCUGUCUGCAGCAGCUGGUCCCUCUCACUUCCUGGUUUAACUCUGCUCGUCUCUGUUUGUAGCAACAAGAACAUCUGGGUUCUGCUCCUGGAAAGGUGCAUGUUGUCCUCCGCCUCCACCAGAACCAGACGUGGUGUUUUUGUUACCACUCAUUUGUUUGUUUGUUUGUUUGUUUACAGGAUGAAGCUGACUCUAACACGGCGUCACCCUGGAAGGUGAGUUCAUUCAGCUGAUCAGAGGUCACCUCUGAUGGCUGCAGUCACGGCCGACCGUGCUGACAUCACACAGGAAUUCAGGUGACCCGGCAGGCACCAGGUGCUGGUGAAAGUGGGGACAUGUCAGCUGGUUGCCAUGGCUACAGUUAUCUUUAUGCAUCUGUAUGACUGCUGACUGGUGUGUGUUUCCUGUGACCUUUGACCUCAGACCGUACGGUUGGGCGUUCAGACGAUGGCUAACUUUAAUUCC
Molecule: non-coding RNA, 1943 nt
Organism: Nothobranchius furzeri (turquoise killifish)
Lineage: Eukaryota; Metazoa; Chordata; Actinopteri; Cyprinodontiformes; Nothobranchiidae
Source: RefSeq, a predicted model, not a curated record